This 568-nucleotide long non-coding RNA is filed under the name Zonotrichia albicollis (white-throated sparrow). RNAcentral describes it as "lncRNA (ENSZALG00000005481.1)". Lineage: Eukaryota; Metazoa; Chordata; Aves; Passeriformes; Passerellidae. The record is from RNAcentral.
AGCCCCGGCCCCGCGCUUGUCACCCAGACAAGAGAUCAAUAACUAAUUUCACUGCAGCAGCAGCGCCGGGUUUUUUCCAAUAAUUGUGAGCCGGCGGUGGGGAAUGAGGCUCUCAGCACCGCUCCACACCAGCCUGCACCCGAUCAAUCGCCACACCGCUGGGGCAGCAGGAAAACUCAUUUUUCUCCUUUUCUUCCCUCUCCUCCCUUCUCUCCUUCCCGAUCCCACUCCGUUCCCUCCUCCUCCUGCUGUGGCGCUGCCUGAGCUGGGGCUGUGUCCCCAUCCCCUCGCUGGGUGGGAUGUCAGCUUGGGCUGUCCCCAGCUGGCCCCACACGCUGGGGACAAGGGCUGAGCCUCCUGUGCUGCCUCAGCAGCCCGGAGCACUUCGGUCCCUGCCACCCAGGGGCCGGACCCGGCUCCUUGUGCACAGCACCGGCCCCAGCAGCUUGGCUGAAGGUGGCAGAGGAGAACCUUUGGAACCACCCUCACCAGAGACCACAGUGGACAAAAUCAAAUCUUUAAAGGCUCAAGGUGCCCCAGCAGCAGCACUAACCCACAGGUGCAGCCA